Molecule: long non-coding RNA, 712 nt
Filed under: Androctonus crassicauda
Lineage: Eukaryota; Metazoa; Arthropoda; Arachnida; Scorpiones; Buthidae
Source: RNAcentral
GGUUAUUUCACCUUAGAGGUGAAGUUCGGGUCUCUGGUUCAGCAGAAGCAGUGGCUGUUGCAGCGAUGGGUCGAACGUUGCUGCGGACGUGCCUUUCGAUAUUGCUGCUAGCACUACUAGUGUUAGCGAAGAAAAAGACCAGCAGCGGCGAUGUAAUCGAAGAAGUCGGCGGUAAGAAACUCGAGAAGCUGAUCGAAGAAGAAGAAUUCUUAGCUGUUUUCUUCUGUAAGUAUAUAACGGGAGUUAUGUAAAAGUAUCGAAUGCCGGUCUAUUCUCAGUGUUGUACGCCACUUACCUUUUUUGGUACACCAACCCAAUGGGAAAUCCAAUACUUUUUCACUAAAGAAACGUUAAAAAUACGAGAAAUAUUGCAGAACCAUUUCUGUCUGCAACACGUCCCAUCUACGCAAAUAUUAUUGUCGUCUGCAUUUUUAAUAAUUUUUUCGGCGCGUGUUUGGCUAGCCGGCGGCCUCUGACGUCAUCGCUUUUCGCAUAUGAAUUUUAACUGCUCCUUAUGACGACAAAAAUAUGAAAUUCGAAUUUUUAGCAUUUUUUCUAAUUUUUAAUUCGAAUUUAGAAUAUUUCUUCAACAAAAAAAUAUUUGUUUAGAAUAUAUUUUAGACGCGAUUUAUUUAAAGAUCAGGUUAUAUUAUAAAUAUGCAUAUAUGCGUCUAAUAAUCACGCUGCAUAGUCCGAACAAGUAUAAUAUCUA